UACGUAGGGGGCAAGCGUUACCCGGAUUUACUGGGCGUAAAGGGGGCGUAGGCGGCCUGGUGUGUCGGAUGUGAAAUCCCACGGCUCAACCGUGGGGCUGCAUCCGAAACUACCAGGCUUGGGGGCGGUAGAGGGAGACGGAACUGCCGGUGUAGGGGUGAAAUCCGUAGAUAUCGGCAGGAACGCCGGUGGGGAAGCCGGUCUCCUGGGCCGACCCCGACGCUGAGGCCCGAAAGCCAGGGGAGCAAACCGG
This 253-nucleotide ribosomal RNA is filed under the name uncultured microorganism. RNAcentral's name for it is "partial 16S ribosomal RNA". It matches the Rfam family "Bacterial small subunit ribosomal RNA", at positions 524 to 776 of the family's 1533-position model. The record is from RNAcentral.